Molecule: ribosomal RNA, 275 nt
Filed under: uncultured bacterium
Lineage: Bacteria
Description: partial 16S ribosomal RNA
Rfam family: Bacterial small subunit ribosomal RNA
Source: RNAcentral
CCUACGGGUGGCUGCAGUAGGGAAUAUUGGGCAAUGGAGGAAACUCUGACCCAGCCAUGCCGCGUGAAGGAUGAAGGUCCUACGGAUUGUAAACUUCUUUUAUUAGGGAAGAAACGUUUUGAUUCAUCAGAACUUGACGGUACCUAAGGAAUAAGCACCGGCUAACUCCGUGCCAGCAGCCGCGGUAAUACGGAGGGUGCAAGCGUUAUCCGGAUUCACUGGGUUUAAAGGGUGCGUAGGUGGACUUAUAAGUCAGUGGUGAAAGCUCCGAGCUU